AGGAGGUCGGAAUUUUUAAUGAAUUACAAUAAAAACCGACCUCCUGA
This is a non-coding RNA of Solanum tuberosum (potato), 47 nucleotides long. The record is from Rfam. Lineage: Eukaryota; Viridiplantae; Streptophyta; Magnoliopsida; Solanales; Solanaceae.